AGAAAAUGCCUGUCUGUGCUACAGAAAUGGAUUGCRUAUAAUAUGACAACCAUCUUUUAUAGAGGCAAACCAGACUCGUUGAGCUCUAACAUUGUAAAGAAAAAGGCUUUACAGGUAUAAUUAACCUGUGGAAUGUCCUUCCACAAGAUACUCCUGAAGUAUUGGCGUUAAUACCAUCUGUCUUCAUAAUUCAGGGCAUCAGUGGCCUACCAGCUGAGAUCAAGAAGCAAUCUACUGUCUCUCUUCAUGGCAUAUCUCUGCUGAAUGAAUUAAGAGGUCAUUGUGACUUUUUUAGCAAUGGUCAAUGUUGAAGAUGGAGGAGGUUUUGGAUUCUAAGGGAAAAUGUGCAGUUAUUUCCAGAAAUACUCAAGGGGGUCGCUGCUCGGCAUGUGGACAAGAAGAAAUCUCCUGCAUGUGUCAGCAAGACUCAUAAGCAGAAAGAGAUUGGUACGUCAGCAAGAAAAGUUUUCUUCCUGGGGAGAAAUACAAGCAAACAUGAAGACAAGAGGACUCAGCGUGAUCCAUGUAAUGCUCUCCUUUCCCUGA
Molecule: long non-coding RNA, 546 nt
Filed under: Dromaius novaehollandiae (emu)
Lineage: Eukaryota; Metazoa; Chordata; Aves; Casuariiformes; Dromaiidae
Description: lncRNA (ENSDNVG00000003636.1)
Source: RNAcentral